UCGAGAAUCUUUCACAAUGGGGGCAACCCUGAUGGAGCGACGCCGCGUGGAGGUUAAGGUCUUCGGAUUGUAAACUCCUGUCAUGCGAGAACAAAGCCCUCACGGGUGUGAUAGUAUCGCAAGAGGAAGAGACGGCUAACUCUGUGCCAGCAGCCGCGGUAAUACAGAGGUGGCAAGCGUUGUUCGGAAUUACUGGGCGUAAAGGGCGCGUAGGCGGUCCUGUCAGUCCCUUGUGAAAUCCCCCGGCUCAACUGGGGAACUGCAAGGGAUACAGCAGGGCUUGAGUUCGGGAGAGGGAAGCGGAAUUCCGGGUGUAGCGGUGAAAUGCGUAGAUAUCCGGAGGAACACCGGUGGCGAAGGCGGCUUCCUGGACCGAUACUGACGCUGAGGCGCGAAAGCUAGGGGAGCAAACGGGAUUAGAUACCCAAGUAGUCCCUGAGCGGGCUGGCAAGGCGCAU
This 458-nucleotide ribosomal RNA is filed under the name uncultured bacterium. RNAcentral's name for it is "bacterial SSU rRNA". It matches the Rfam family "Bacterial small subunit ribosomal RNA", at positions 355 to 825 of the family's 1533-position model. The record is from RNAcentral.